This 470-nucleotide ribosomal RNA is filed under the name Natrialba hulunbeirensis. RNAcentral's name for it is "bacterial SSU rRNA". It matches the Rfam family "Archaeal small subunit ribosomal RNA", at positions 115 to 584 of the family's 1478-position model. The record is from RNAcentral. Lineage: Archaea; Methanobacteriati; Methanobacteriota; Halobacteria; Halobacteriales; Natrialbaceae.
UAUAGAUCCAGACAACCUCGGGAAACUGAGGCUAAUCCGGAAUAGGGCUCUCAUCCUGGAGUGGAGAGAGCCUGAAACGCUCCGGCGCUAUAGGAUGUGGCUGCGGCCGAUUAGGUAGACGGUGGGGUAACGGCCCACCGUGCCAGUAAUCGGUACGGGUUGUGAGAGCAAGAGCCCGGAGACGGUAUCUGAGACAAGAUACCGGGCCCUACGGGGCGCAGCAGGCGCGAAACCUUUACACUGCACGCCAGUGCGAUAAGGGGACUCCAAGUGCGAGGGCAUAUAGUCCUCGCUUUUUGCGACCGUAAGGUGGUCGCGGAAUAAGUGCUGGGCAAGACCGGUGCCAGCCGCCGCGGUAAUACCGGCAGCACGAGUGAUGACCGCUGUUAUUGGGCCUAAAGCGUCCGUAGCUGGCCGCACAAGUCUAUCGGGAAAUCUCUCCGCUUAACGGAGAGGCGUCCGGUGGAAAC